AAGUCGUAACAAGGUCUCCGUUGGUGAACCAGCGGAGGGAUCAUUAAAGAGUUUAAAACAACUCCUAAACCCAUGUGAACAUACCUUCUGUUGCCUCGGCAGGUCGCGCUUACCCUGUAGCGCCUUACCCUGUAAGGCCUACCCGGAAGGCGCGGGUAACCCCUGCCGGCGGCCCAAGAAACUCUGUUUAGCAUUGAAUUCUGAAUAUAUAACUAAAUAAGUUAAAACUUUCAACAACGGAUCUCUUGGUUCUG
This 254-nucleotide unclassified non-coding RNA is filed under the name Xylaria sp. RNAcentral describes it as "partial internal transcribed spacer region". The stretch from base 1 to 46 matches the Rfam family "Eukaryotic small subunit ribosomal RNA", at positions 1786 to 1831 of the family's 1831-position model. The record is from RNAcentral. Lineage: Eukaryota; Fungi; Ascomycota; Sordariomycetes; Xylariales; Xylariaceae.